This 253-nucleotide ribosomal RNA is filed under the name uncultured bacterium. RNAcentral describes it as "partial 16S ribosomal RNA". It matches the Rfam family "Bacterial small subunit ribosomal RNA", at positions 524 to 776 of the family's 1533-position model. The record is from RNAcentral.
UACGAAGGGGGCUAGCGUUGCUCGGAAUCACUGGGCGUAAAGCGCACGUAGGCGGCUUUUUAAGUCAGGGGUGAAAUCCUGGAGCUCAACUCCAGAACUGCCUUUGAUACUGAGAAGCUUGAGUCCGGGAGAGGUGAGUGGAACUGCGAGUGUAGAGGUGAAAUGCGCAGAUAUCAGGAAGAACACCUAUGGCGAAGGCAGCUCUCUGGGACGGUACUGACGCUGAGACGCGAAAGCGUGGGGAGCGAACAGG